AGUGGGGAAUAUUGGACAAUGGGCGCAAGCCUGAUCCAGCCAUGCCGCGUGAGUGAUGAAGGCCCUAGGGUUGUAAAGCUCUUUCACCGGUGAAGAUAAUGACGGUAACCGGAGAAGAAGCCCCGGCUAACUUCGUGCCAGCAGCCGCGGUAAUACGAAGGGGGCUAGCGUUGUUCGGAUUUACUGGGCGUAAAGCGCACGUAGGCGGACUUUUAAGUCAGGGGUGAAAUCCCGGGGCUCAACCCCGGAACUGCCUUUGAUACUGGAAGUCUUGAGUAUGGUAGAGGUGAGUGGAAUUCCGAGUGUAGAGGUGAAAUUCGUAGAUAUUCGGAGGAACACCAGUGGCGAAGGCGGCUCACUGGACCAUUACUGACGCUGAGGUGCGAAAGCGUGGGGAGCAAA
Molecule: ribosomal RNA, 402 nt
Filed under: uncultured Brucellaceae bacterium
Lineage: Bacteria; Pseudomonadati; Pseudomonadota; Alphaproteobacteria; Hyphomicrobiales; Brucellaceae
Description: bacterial SSU rRNA
Rfam family: Bacterial small subunit ribosomal RNA
Source: RNAcentral